This 460-nucleotide ribosomal RNA is filed under the name uncultured bacterium. Its description in RNAcentral is "bacterial SSU rRNA". It matches the Rfam family "Bacterial small subunit ribosomal RNA", at positions 28 to 523 of the family's 1533-position model. The record is from RNAcentral.
GACGAACGCUGGCGGUGUGCUUCACACAUGCAAGUCGAACGAGGUAGCAAUACCUAGUGGCGGACGGGUGAGUAACGCGUGGGAAUCUGCCUUUAGAUGGGGGAUAACGGGUCGAAAGACUCGCUAAUACCGCAUAUGACGAAAGUUGAAAGGAGUAAUCCGUCUAAAGAUGAGCCCGCGUCCGAUUAGCUAGUUGGUAGAGUAAAAGCCUACCAAGGCGACGAUCGGUAGCUGGUCUGAGAGGAUGAUCAGCCACAAUGGGACUGAAGACACGGCCCAUACUCCUACGGGAGGCAGCAGUGGGGAAUUUUACGCAAUGGGCGAAAGACCUGACGUAGCGACACCGCGUGAGCGAAGAAGCCCCUUGGGGUGUAAAGCUCUGUCAGCUGGAACGAAAAAAAAUAGACGGUACCGAGCAGAGGAAGACAUCGGCUAACUAACGUGCCAGCAGCCGCGGUAA